This 52-nucleotide small RNA is filed under the name Azospirillum sp. TSH58. Its description in RNAcentral is "ffh sRNA". It matches the Rfam family "ffh sRNA". The record is from Rfam by way of RNAcentral. Lineage: Bacteria; Pseudomonadati; Pseudomonadota; Alphaproteobacteria; Rhodospirillales; Azospirillaceae.
CGUGCCGGGGACCUCCGCCAGUCCGCGAGUUUCGCGCACUGGCUCGUUUGUG